Molecule: long non-coding RNA, 6908 nt
Filed under: Sus scrofa (pig)
Lineage: Eukaryota; Metazoa; Chordata; Mammalia; Artiodactyla; Suidae
Description: lncRNA (ENSSSCG00055006536.1)
Source: RNAcentral
UGGGUAAGGCCUUCAGAAGAUCAAUUUUGGUGCCCGGAGAAGGCCCCAGAGCACUGGGGCUGGAUGCCCUGGGCCUCUGGGAGGAACUCCUGCAGCCCCAGGACUGGGCAGUAUUUAUGACAUAUUGGGGCAACCGAACAGAAGAGCCUCAGCCCUCCAGACAGAACGUGGUGGGAUGAGGUGGGAAGGAGGAGGUGAGGGCCCCUCCUUCUGCUCCCCCAAGACCAGCAGCCCUCCAGGACGAGAAGGAGAGCAGAGGGCAGUGUCACCCAUGCCACAACCCUCAGCAGAGGAGCAGGAAGAGCAACACCAACUGGCACCCAGGCCCGCGAGGUGUGUCCGGGAUGGAGCAGAUAUUCUGAAUCACCUUCAGUUCGUGUCGACCAGGGGCUGGGAGACUAGGCACCAUCCAGAAGAGAGGGUGCUCUUGGGCAUUCAGAGACCCGGAUUCAGGCCACUUUUAAGUAUCCAAUGCUGUGUGAAAACUUGGGAUUCCCAGCUGACCUGGGUUUGGGUUUGAACUUAGGAUCAACCUUAGUAUCUGACCUGAAGCAUAACUUAGGGUCAGUUUAGCCAGGGCUGUGCGUGAGCAGAACGGGAAAGUACUGACCCACACAGAGGCCUCUCCCCAAACCUUUCUGGUGCGUCCCCUGGGGGUCUGGAGGGGAGCAAGGAGGUGAAGCCCGAGCUGUUCCCAGAGGGGACUUGGAGGAUGGGGACCCUAACAGAGGUGACCUGGGACCCACCUGCCUGCCUGGCCCUCUCCCACCCCACCACCAUCCAAAACCAAAAUAAAGUCAAACUGAAAAUUCAAUGAAACAAGUUAGUGACCUAACCAUAAAGAGAAGAAAUCAUUUCGCUGACUUGGAAAUGCCAUCAUUUUACUGCAAUAUAUUCCGAGGACAAAACACACAGAGAUUUCAAACACAGUAAGUGGUUAUAGCCACUAAUAAUAAUGAUGAUAUUAUUUUGAAAUUCCUACACAUUUGAGCAAACCCUGAGUUAUGCAGAUGAUUUUUUUUAAUUAUGAAAUAAAUGAGCAAUUAUGUUAAUAAAGUUACAGAGGAAGAUUUUUAGUGAAGAGAAGAAAGGUAUAAAUAGAAAAUCGAUAACAGGUAAAAUUUCUAUCAUCUUAAAAUUUGAAUUGGAAAUGUUGCUAUGGGUUCAGAAUUUAUGUUUCUUAUUCUUAUAAUACAGACCUAUUUCCUAGCUGCGAUCACCGUAAAGGCCACAUAGACAGACGGAGUGACGAUCUGGAGCAUUUGGCAAAGCUCACAUGCAAUGGUGGCUUCUGAGGACCAUCUGAUCCUGACAAGAACGGUGCUUCAAACCCAAGGAAGUCUUCAAGAUAAGAGCAAACAGCUCCUUUGGCCAGAAAGCAUAAGGCUGCCAAUGACCACAAAGUUUCAUCAAGGACUCAGCCUGAAAGAGUUGCAUCAAUCAAGAUGACAUGUUCUGGGAGUUCCCGUCGUGGCACCGUGGAAAUGAACCCGACUAGUAUCCUUGAGGACAUGGGUUCCAUCCCUGGCCAAACUCAGGUGGUUAAGAAUCCGUCAGUGCCGUGAGCUGUGGUGUAGGUCAAAGACGUGGCUGGGAUCUGGUGUUGCUGUGGCUGUGGUGUAGGCCGGCAGCUGCGGCUCUGAUUCAACCCCUAGCCUGGGAACCUCCAUAUGCCGUGGGUGCGGCCCUAAAAAAAUAAACAAACCAAAAGGUGAGUUGUUCUGAGCAUAAGAUUAAAAAUAAUGAAAAUAAAUUGCAAUGAAUUAAAACAUAUCAAAUCCAUAAAAUCCCCUGCAUUCCUAAUGUUCUGAGAGGAAAAUCACUGGAAUUGGUCCUUCUCAAAAAUGGCUGAGGUAUCACCUCAUUAUUUUGACAACUGAAAAAUAAAAGGAAAGAAUCCAGCCCUCAUCUUCCAUUUUCCAUGCAAACAUAUUUCAAGUAUCCGUACAGGUCACAGUGGAAAAUUCUUUCUAGGAAGAACUCUAGUUAUUAAAGAAUGAAGCAGAGACAGGACUAGAAAUUCACCCCUCCGUGGUCCCUAAGGAGACAACGGAUCCAGGCAACUGUCCUCAGUGACUGUAAAAACCCUUGAAGGAGAAGCCUGGGCAGGCCGACCACAUUUAAACUCAGGGCGCAGACAUGGUCCCAUGCAGGCAGGUAACAGGCGGCUCUGGUGUUUGGCCAGGGGUGCACGGGAGACAACCCGAGCUCUCCUACUUGCCGGAAACAUGGGAGAAAGUGCUUCCUUCUCACCAGGUCUCCAGAUCUGAUCCCCAAGCACAAGUGGCAGUGCCUGGAAGAUGCCCUCCCAGUGCAGAACAUGGUCCUGUCUCCUCUGCGGAGUCCCCACCCCGCCCAGGAGCCGAUAGGAGGCCAAGAGGUGGGGGCAGGAGAUGGAGAUGGAGCAGAGGCUCAUGUGGGAAAAAACCGUGAGAAACACACCAACCUAGACCACGUAGUAGCCUUUGGGGCCCUCAUUCAAAUCAACCAAAUCCAGAAAGACAUUUUUGAGAAAAUUAGAGAUUUUCACCCACACUGGGUAUACGAUCAUCCUAAGGAAUUAUUUUCAGUUCUGUUGGGUGUAAAAAUGCUAUUAUAGUUUCAUUGUAAGAUAUCACCUGUUAAAGGAACAUACUGCGGUAUUUACAAAUAAGGUGAUGCUACGCCUGGGAUCUGCUUUGAAAUGCUUCUGCGGGAGUUGGGGAAGGGGAAGCGUGCAGGAGAGUUUAUACACGAAUCGAGACUGGCAACGAGAGUUGUCCAAGCAGGUGAUGGGCACCUUCAUUGAAUUCUCCUCUACUUUUGUCAUUGUUUGGAAAUACUAUUAACAUAAAAUCCAAAAAGAAAUCGAUAAUUAUUAUCAUUGAUCAAUAUAAUCAAUUGUCAGAGUUCCCGUCGUGGCACAGUGGUUAACGAAUCCAACUAGGAACCAUGAGGUUGCGGGUUCGAUCCCUGGCCUUUCUCGGUGUGUUAAGAGUCUGGUGUUGCCAUGAACUGUGGUGUAGGUCGCAGACAUGGCUUGGAUCUCGCAUUGCUGUGACUCUGGCGUAGGCUGGCAGCUACAGCUCGGAUUCAACCCCUAGCCUGGGAACCUCCACAUGCCGUGGGUGUGGCCCUAAAAAAGACAAUAAAUAAAUAAAUAAAUAAAAGAAAAGGAAUGACUGGGUCACCUUGCUGUCCAGCAGAAAUUGGCACACCUUGUAAAUCCAAUGUAUUUUAAUUAAUUAAUUUAGUUAGUUAGUUAGUUAUUUCAUCUUUUUAGGGCCAUACCCGCAGCAUGUGGAGGUUCCCAGGCUAGGGAGUGAAUCUGAGCUAUAGCUGCCAGCCUACACCACAGCCACAGCCAAGCGGGAUCCAAGCUGCAUCUGCAAACUACACAGCAGCUUGUGGCAACGUAGGAUCCUUAACCCACUGAGCAAGGCCAGGUAUUGAACCCACAUCUUCAUAGGUACUAGUCAGAUUCUUAACCUGCUGAGCCAUGACAGGAACUCCUCAACUAUACUUUAACUAAAAAAUAAUAAUAAUAGGGAAUUCCUGUUGUAGCUCAGUGGGUUAAGAACUCAACAUAGCGUCCGUGAGGAUGUGGGUUGGAUCCCUGGCCUCGCUCAGUGGGUUAAGCAUCCGGCGUUGCUGUGGCUAUGGUGUAGGCUGGCAGCUGCAGCUCCGAUUCAACCCCUGGGCUGUAAAAAACUAAAAAGAAAAGAAUAAAAUAAAAAUGAAAAAAAUAAAGCCAGUUGCCAAUUCUAAGCUGUGCUGGAAGUUGAAAUUCUAAGUCUCCUAGAAGCUGAAAAAGGCCCAGGGAAUUCUGAAGGGCACCUCCUAUUCUGAGCUCAGCCUGCUUCUGCCUUCAUUCAGGAUGGAGGUUUGGAUGUAACUGUCUCUAAUAACUUCAUUCACUCAGAAACCAUGAACUGAUGCCCCUGGAGGCCACACUGCCUCUGAGAAAACCAGGUUGUCAGCCUCACCUGCGUUGUGGGGACAUUUCAAUAACAUGUCCACGAAUCCUCCAUUGAGUGAGUCCACGCAAACUGCUGUGGGCAGUCUCAGGGCAGACUUUGAUCUUCGAGGGCACAGGAGAGCACGGGGCAGCUGGCGAGCUGCCGGCAUGACCACUCGUCCCCGGGAAGCCAUCUCAAGGGAGGCAAAAGCAAUGACACUGUUCUUGCAAUCAUACUUUACCUCGUGAAGACUGGCUGUCUCGGAGUUUCCGUUGUGGUGCAGAACAAAUCCGACUAGCAUCCAUGAGGUUGCAGGUUUGAUCCCUGGCCUCACUCAGUGGGUUAUGGAUCCAGCGUUGCCGAGAGUGGUGGUGUAGGUCACAGAUGCAGCUCAGAUCUGGAGUUCCUGUGGCUGUGGUGUAGAUCGUUAGCCAAAGCUCUGAUUUGACUUCUAGCCUGGGAACCUCCCUAUGCUGCAGGUGCAGCCAUGAAAAAGCAAAAAACAAAAGACUGGCUGUCUCAUUGAUGCGUCCAUAUAUUCUGUUUAGUAAAUAAUCCCCUUGUCUGCUCAGAUCAGAAGCCACAGCCUCGUAGGCAGGUCGGGGAAGUUGCUUGUUUUUUUGAAAAGCACUUUCUUCCUUCGCAUAGACCUUUGUGGGGUCUUGGACUCACAGGUGCACUAACACCACCGAAAUGGGGUCUCUUUGCUUGGCAUUCCUAAAGGGGGUCCUUCUCCCUCACAGUUGUCCGCUGGAAGGACAGGGCUCAGCCACCUCCAGGGCAGUGGGGGAUUUAAUGGUCAGCUUGGGGGGCACUGAGGGAUGAGGUCAACCUGUAAACUGGUGACUCUGGUAAAGCCAAGUGCCUCCCUCUGUAGGUGGGCCCCAUGCCAUCAGCGGAAGGCCUGAGAAGAACAGAAUCCUGCUUCCCAAGCCCGAUGGGACCCUCCAGCUGAUGGCCUUGGCCCCCCACUCCCCUGGAACCACAGUCUCCCAGGUGUGCAGUCUGCAGGUGUGGGGCUUCCCAGAGUUCAUGGGCAACGAACCAGUCCCUGCUGAAGAAUGACUCCCCCAUGCCUUUAUGCGUGUGGUCUCAGAGAGACGAAGAUUGUGUGUGUUUGUGUGUGUGUACACAUCCUGUUGCUUCUGCUUCUCUGGAAAAUCCUAGUAAGUCAGGGCAAGGCAAAUAGAGCACCUGCCUUGAAAGCACACAUCCCUUACUAAGUCAGCUUGGACCCUCCCGGGACUCGGACACCCAGGGAAACCAUGCACUGUCCUGGUCAUCUCCUGCCUUGGCGGUGUGCGAGGGCCCUCUCUCUGGGACAUGGCAGAGAGGACAUGGCUGAGUGUCACUUCCAGGGGUGGGAUGGGGGGAGGCUCCGGUGGUCCUUCUCCUCCAACCACACACCUCCACCUCCAGCCCGCCCUCUGUUUGUAAGCAUUGUCUUUGGGUGUGUCUUUUAAAAAGGGAAUUGGGGUUUACCUUUUUAAAGAGACUAUUAAUCUCCAAUUUAGGAAACAUGAAUAUGACCUAAAAAAAUGAAAAAUAUUCAUGCACCUGUAUGUUCAUUGCAGCACUAUUCACUAUAGCCAAGACAUGGAAACAACUUCAAUGUCCAUUGACAAAUGAAUGGAUUACAGAGAUGUGGGACAUAUACACAAUGGAAUACUACUCAGCCAAAAAAAAGAACAAAAUAAUGCCAUUUGCAGCAACGUGGAUGGAACUAGAGACUCUCAUAUUAUAAAUAAGUCAGAAAGAGAAAGACAAAUACCAUAUGAUAUCACUUAUAUCUGGAAUCUAAUAUACGGCAUAAAUGAACCUUUCUACGGAAAAGAAACUCAUGGACUCGGAGAACAGGCUUGUGUUUGACAAGGGGGAGAGGAAGGGAGUGGGAUGGACUGUGAAUCUGGGGUUGAUAGAUGCAAACUAUUGCCUUUGGAAUGGAUAAGCAAUGAAAUUCUGCCAUGUAGUACUAGGAACUAUAUCUAGUCACUUGUGAUGGAGCCUGAUGGAGGAGAAUGUGAGAAAAAGAAUGUAUAAAUGUAUGUGUGAAUGGGUCACUCUGCUGUACAGUAGAAACUGACAGAACACUGUAAACCAGCUAUAAUGGAAAGAAUAAAAAUCAUUUAAAAGACAAAAAAAAAUACGACCUGAGGUUCCACCUCCACUCCUUAGACGCUGCUGAGCCUCGAGCGACCUAAACGCUCUGUGCCUCAGUUUCCUCGUCUGCUGAAUAAUGAUCCUUAAGGUUCUUACUUCCGUGGUUCAUGUUGAAGAUGGAGAUGCCAUGCUAGGGUCCUGGGAUGGGAUGCAGAAUGUGACAACACAACCUACCAGGGUAGACUGAGAAGCUCACAGAAGAGAAGAGCCAGGGAGACCAGGAGACCAAAUGUGACUUUAGAUGGGAUCCUGGGACAGAAAAGGGAUAUUAGGGAAGACUAAGGCUAUUCAAAAAGAGUAUGGACUUCAGCCAGUAGGAAUGGAUCCAUUGAGUUCCUCUGUGGUGCCCUGGGUUAAGGAUCCAGCGUAGAUGGAAACUAUAGCAGAGGUCGCAGCUGCGGCUUGGAUCCCGGGAACUUCCAUGUGCUGAGGGUGAGGCUAAAAUGUUAAAAAUAUAGGGGAUCCAUAUCAGUCCUUUAGUUCUCACAGAUAUCCACCACAAUAUAAGAUGUAAUAAUAGGGCAAACUGUGUGGUGUAUGUGGAAACUUUCUGAAUGACAUUCACAAUUUUCCUGUAAAUCUAAAACUGCUCUCUAGAUGUAUUUGAAUUAAAGUCAUGUAUUUUAGCGCUUUACCUGGCGAAUGGCUUCUCCAUAAUACUCUCUUCUAUCACAAUUAUUAUUAUUUUCUCAGGGUAAAACUGAGAGAUAUACUAGGUAAACCAAAAUAAAACAAGUCUUUUGGGGUUAGUAGGUGCAAACUAUGACAUUUAGAAUGGAUAAGCAAUGAGAUCCUGCUGCACAGCACAGG